RNAcentral lists this ribosomal RNA (525 nucleotides) under uncultured bacterium. RNAcentral's name for it is "bacterial SSU rRNA". It matches the Rfam family "Bacterial small subunit ribosomal RNA", at positions 136 to 647 of the family's 1533-position model. The record is from RNAcentral.
GUCUGGGAUACCACUUGGAAACAGGUGCUAAUACCGGAUAACAACAAUAGCUGGAUGGCUAUUGCUUAAAAGGCGGCGAAAGCUGUCGCUAAAGGAUGGACCCGCGGUGCAUUAGCUAGUUGGUAAGGUAAUGGCUUACCAAGGCGACGAUGCAUAGCCGAGUUGAGAGACUGAUCGGCCACAUUGGGACUGAGACACGGCCCAAACUCCUACGGGAGGCAGCAGUAGGGAAUCUUCCACAAUGGGCGAAAGCCUGAUGGAGCAACGCCGCGUGAGUGAAGAAGGUUUUCGGAUCGUAAAGCUCUGUUGUUGGUGAAGAAGGAUAGAGGUAGUAACUGGCCCCUAUUUGACGGUAAUCAACCAGAAAGUCACGGCUAACUACGUGCCAGCGGCCGCGGUAAUACGUAGGUGGCAAGCGUUGUCCGGAUUUAUUGGGCGUAAAGCGAGCGCAGGCGGAAAGAUAAGUCUGAUGUGAAAGCCCCCGGCUUAACCGAGGAAUUGCAUCGUAAACUGUGUUUCUUGAGU